AUUGAACGCUGGCGGCAUGCCUUACACAUGCAAGUCGAACGGCAGCACGGGUGCUUGCACCUGGUGGCGAGUGGCGAACGGGUGAGCAAUACAUCGGAACGUACCUUAUCGUGGGGGAUAACGCAGCGAAAGCUGUGCUAAUACCGCAUACGCCCUGAGGGGGAAAGCGGGGGAUCGAAAGACCACGCGCGAUUAGAGCGGCCGAUGCCUGAUUAGCUUGUUGGUGGGGUAAAAGCCCACCAAGGCGACGAUCAGUAGCUGGUCUGAGAGGACGAUCAGCCACACUGGGACUGAGACACGGCCCAGACUUCUACGGGAGGCAGCAGUGGGGAAUUUUGGACAAUGGGGGCAACCCUGAUCCAGCAAUGCCGCGUGAGUGAAGAAGGCCUUCGGGUUGUAAAGCUCUUUUGUCAGGGAAGAAACACCGGCUCUAACACAGUCCGGGAAUGACGGUACCUGAAGAAUAAGCACCGGCUAACUACGUGCCAGCCGCCGCAGUAA
This 501-nucleotide ribosomal RNA is filed under the name uncultured bacterium. RNAcentral's name for it is "partial 16S ribosomal RNA". It matches the Rfam family "Bacterial small subunit ribosomal RNA", at positions 29 to 523 of the family's 1533-position model. The record is from RNAcentral.